RNAcentral lists this ribosomal RNA (253 nucleotides) under uncultured bacterium. RNAcentral describes it as "partial 16S ribosomal RNA". It matches the Rfam family "Bacterial small subunit ribosomal RNA", at positions 524 to 776 of the family's 1533-position model. The record is from RNAcentral.
UACGUAGGGGGCAAGCGUUGUCCGGAAUUAUUGGGCGUAAAGAGCGCGUAGGCGGUCCGAUAAGUCGGCUGUGAAAGUCAGGGGCUCAACCCUUGAAAGCCGGCCGAUACUGUCGGACUAGAGUCCGGAAGAGGCGAGUGGAAUUCCCGGUGUAGCGGUGAAAUGCGCAGAUAUCAGGAAGAACACCCGUGGCGAAGGCGGCUCUCUGGGACGGUACUGACGCUGAGACGCGAAAGCGUGGGGAGCGAACAGG